UGUGAUGCCCUUAGAUGUCCUGGGCCGCA
Molecule: small RNA, 29 nt
Filed under: Bombyx mori (domestic silkworm)
Lineage: Eukaryota; Metazoa; Arthropoda; Insecta; Lepidoptera; Bombycidae
Description: ovarian small RNA-35891
Source: RNAcentral